AUGUUUUCUACAUGUUUGAUGAUCACCUUUCUGUUAAUAACAACUUUUAUCACAAUGGUAGUAACUGAACCAAAUAUAAUAAAGGCUCCAUGUAUAAAGGGUUAUAAGAGAGUUGGUAACCAAUGCCGCAAGGUCUUCGGACAAUAGAAGGUUAACUUACAGAAGUGGGAAUGUGGUUGCUGUUUGCAUUUCGAAAGCAAUACAAAUGAGUACAAACGCACAUUGUAAAUGAGCAAGCAGAAAUACUAUCGUAAAAGAGUAAUUUCUGAGCUUUGAUUAUUAAAAUGUACAGCUUCACAAAUAAAGUAUAAAGGAACAUGUC
Molecule: long non-coding RNA, 322 nt
Organism: Vollenhovia emeryi
Lineage: Eukaryota; Metazoa; Arthropoda; Insecta; Hymenoptera; Formicidae
Exons: 2
Source: RefSeq, a predicted model, not a curated record